GGAGGUAUAGCUCAGUGGCAGAGUGCUAUGCUUAGCAUGCACGAGGUCCUGGGUUCAAUCCCAGUACCACCG
This 72-nucleotide transfer RNA is filed under the name Camelus bactrianus (Bactrian camel). It matches the Rfam family "tRNA". From Rfam's summary of the family: Transfer RNA (tRNA) molecules are approximately 80 nucleotides in length. Lineage: Eukaryota; Metazoa; Chordata; Mammalia; Artiodactyla; Camelidae. The record is from Rfam by way of RNAcentral. RNAcentral also lists the same sequence under 2 other names.